This 466-nucleotide ribosomal RNA is filed under the name Nitrosospira sp. YKU22. RNAcentral's name for it is "bacterial SSU rRNA". It matches the Rfam family "Bacterial small subunit ribosomal RNA", at positions 198 to 644 of the family's 1533-position model. Lineage: Bacteria; Pseudomonadati; Pseudomonadota; Betaproteobacteria; Nitrosomonadales; Nitrosomonadaceae. The record is from RNAcentral.
GGAGGAAAGUAGGGGAUCGCAAGACCUCGCGCUAUUAGAGUGGCCGAUGUCCGAUUAGCUAGUUGGUGGGGUAAAGGCCCACCAAGGCGACGAUCGGUAGCUGGUCUGAGAGGAUGAUCAGCCACACUGGGACUGAGACACGGCCCAGACUCCUACGGGAGGCAGCAGUGGGGAAUUUUGGACAAUGGGCGAAAGCCUGAUCCAGCCAUGCCGCGUGCGGGAAGAAGGCCUUCGGGUUGUAAACCGCUUUAGUCCGGGAAAAAGGGGUGCGAGGAUAAUACCCUUGUGCUUUGAUGGUACUGGAAGAAUAAGCACCGGCUAACUACGUGCCAGCAGCCGCGGUAAUACGUAGGGUGCGAGCGUUAAUCGGAAUUACUGGGCGUAAAGCGUGCGCAGGCGGUCUUGUAAGACAGUCGUGAAAGCCCCGGGCUUAACCUGGGAACUGCGUUUGAAACUACAAAGCUAG